Molecule: non-coding RNA, 73 nt
Organism: Schistocerca nitens (vagrant locust)
Lineage: Eukaryota; Metazoa; Arthropoda; Insecta; Orthoptera; Acrididae
Source: the annotation of a RefSeq genome assembly
AGCGAGGUGGUGCAGUGGUUAGCACACUCGACUCGCAUUCGGGAGGACGGUGGUUCAAAUCCACGCCCGGCCA